This 495-nucleotide ribosomal RNA is filed under the name Coxiella burnetii. RNAcentral's name for it is "bacterial SSU rRNA". It matches the Rfam family "Bacterial small subunit ribosomal RNA", at positions 449 to 944 of the family's 1533-position model. Lineage: Bacteria; Pseudomonadati; Pseudomonadota; Gammaproteobacteria; Legionellales; Coxiellaceae. The record is from RNAcentral.
AAGGGUAAUAUCCUUGGGCGUUGACGUUACCCACAGAAGAAGCACUGGCUAACUCUGUGCCAGCAGCCGCGGUAAUACAGAGAGUGCAAGCGUUAAUCGGAAUCACUGGGCGUAAAGCGCGCGUAGGUGGAUAUUUAAGUUGGAUGUGAAAGCCCUGGGCUUAACCUGGGAAUUGCACCCGAUACUGGGUAUCUUGAGUAUGGUAGAGGGAAGUGGAAUUUCCGGUGUAGCGGUGAAAUGCGUAGAUAUCGGAAAGAACACCAGUGGCGAAGGCGACUUCCUGGACCAAUACUGACACUGAGGCGCGAAAGCGUGGGGAGCAAACAGGAUUAGAGACCCUGGUAGUCCACGCCGUCAACGAUGAGAACUAGCUGUUGGGAAGUUCCCUUCUUAGUAGCGAAGCUAACGCGUUAAGUUCUCCGCCUGGGGAGUACGGCCGCAAGGUUAAAACUCAAAGAAAUUGACGGGGGCCCGCACAAGCGGUGGAGCAUGUGG